ACUACAUCUAUGGCGAUAUCGACGCCGUGAAGUGACUCACUACGCUCCCCCAAGCCGCUCAUAUCGACGCCGUGAAGUGACUCACUACGCUCUCGCCUCUCUGGAAACUCUUCGCUGUCACCCCAACCCCCUCCGUUCAAUCCUUCUCUUCUCCCACUCGCUCUGGACCCCACCUUCUGGAAUCUCCUCUCUCGCCUCCUCCAGCUAGUCCCCAAUCCUCGUUGCGGCGACUCUCUCUAGCUCCCUUCACCUGCUCUCUGCGGGCCCCUCGGGGUUCGAGUUGCUGCACGCGGUGGACGGUAUGGGUUUUCACGAGGGAUCCAUUUGGGGAAGACGGAGGGUCUUUGAUGGGGAGGGUUUGGUGGGGUUUAACGGCGUUAAAUGGGCGUCUCCGAGUGAGUUUAUGACUGUUGGGUGUGGAUUUGGACUUCAAUAGUGGGAUCUGAGACGCCCUGGUGAGCCGCUUUCGCAGUUUAAAGGAAACUGGUCUUAAGGAAAAUCUUCUGGUAUGGUACAUUCAGUUGAUAUUCAUCCACCAAGAAAACACACUUGUCUGGCUGGAAGCUCAUCAGGUACAAUAUUUGCCUGGGAUCUACGAUGAGAGCAACAACCGCUUGAUCUUUCUUGUGUUGGGACUGGAGUGGCUGCUGUCCCUUCAAUAUCUGAAAGUGAGGCUUGGGAGGUUCAGUAUGAUUGCUAUACAAAAUCCUCAAGCAUUUCAUCUGCACAAAUAUUAACUGACAUGUUCUGCUCAAGAGGAUGGUCUCCUUGCUGUGGUUGAACAAGGUGAAGAAUCCACCAAGCUUAUGGCCGAGCCUUGUGCAGUUAACAGUUUUGACAUUGACCAGCAAAACCCCUCGCUUUUAAUCUGUUUCACAUUCUUCCUUCUCAGCAAUGUACCUAAGAAUUAGAGAAAUUCCCAGCAUCUUGGUGUGAUGUACUCCAUUUUGGCCUUGGACAAUGAGCGGAGCAAGUCCCUAACAGAUAACAACUAUGAUGUCCUUGAAAUGCAAAGUUGGAGCAAUGUUAUUGAUAACUUCACAUCCAGUUUAUUCAUGAAGGUAGUUUAUAUCGCAAUUGAAUCGCUAACAAGCUGUGGCUGUGGGUAAUUUGAUUAUUCGUUUAACAGCAUGUACUAUUCUAACCAUUUGAUCAUGCUUUAGUGAAUGAGAAACUUUAACAAAAGUUCUUAAAAAUGGCCGCAUUGUUAAUUUGGACUUGCAAAUAAUUGUUGCUCUUGAGCUGA
Molecule: RNA transcript, 1246 nt
Organism: Mangifera indica (mango)
Lineage: Eukaryota; Viridiplantae; Streptophyta; Magnoliopsida; Sapindales; Anacardiaceae
Exons: 5
Source: RefSeq, a predicted model, not a curated record